AUACGGAGGGGGCUAGCGUUGUUCGGAAUUACUGGGCGUAAAGCGUGCGUAGGCGGUUUGCUAAGUUGGGCGUGAAAGCCCGGGGCUCAACCCCGGAAUUGCGUUCAAAACUGGCAGACUAGAGGCCGGAAGAGGAGAGCGGAAUUCCCAGUGUAGAGGUGAAAUUCGUAGAUAUUGGGAAGAACACCAGUGGCGAAGGCGGCUCUCUGGCUCGAUACUGACGCUGAGGUGCGAAAACGUGGGGAGCAAACAGGAUUAGAAACCCCGGUAGUCC
This 274-nucleotide ribosomal RNA is filed under the name uncultured bacterium. RNAcentral's name for it is "partial 16S ribosomal RNA". It matches the Rfam family "Bacterial small subunit ribosomal RNA", at positions 523 to 796 of the family's 1533-position model. The record is from RNAcentral.